This 253-nucleotide ribosomal RNA is filed under the name uncultured bacterium. RNAcentral's name for it is "partial 16S ribosomal RNA". It matches the Rfam family "Bacterial small subunit ribosomal RNA", at positions 524 to 776 of the family's 1533-position model. The record is from RNAcentral.
UACGUAGGGGGCAAGCGUUGUCCGGAAUCAUUGGGCGUAAAGCGCGCGUAGGCGGCCCUGUAAGUCCGCUGUGAAAGUCCAAGGCUCAACCUUUGAAAGCCGGUGGAUACUGCAGGGCUAGAGUCCGGAAGGGGCGAGUGGAAUUCCUGGUGUAGCGGUGGAAUGCGCAGAUAUCAGGAGGAACACCAAUAGCGAAGGCAGCUCGCUGGGACGGUACUGACGCUAAGGCGCGAAAGCGUGGGGAGCGAACAGG